AAAGUACUUCCUCCGUCCCAAAAUUCUUGUCUUAGAUUUGUCUAGAUACGGAUGUCGUAUCUAGACAAAUCUAAGACAAGAAUUUUGGGACGGAGGGAGUAAUAA
Molecule: non-coding RNA, 105 nt
Organism: Triticum aestivum (bread wheat)
Lineage: Eukaryota; Viridiplantae; Streptophyta; Magnoliopsida; Poales; Poaceae
Source: Rfam